This 251-nucleotide ribosomal RNA is filed under the name uncultured prokaryote. RNAcentral describes it as "partial 16S ribosomal RNA". It matches the Rfam family "Bacterial small subunit ribosomal RNA", at positions 524 to 774 of the family's 1533-position model. The record is from RNAcentral.
UACGGAGGAUGCAAGCGUUAUCCGGAUUUAUUGGGUUUAAAGGGUGCGCAGGUUGUUUGAUAAGUCAGUGGUGAAAGUCUGUCGCUUAACGGUAGGGUUGCCAUUGAUACUGUUAGACUUGAAUAUGGAUGAGGUAGGCGGAAUGUGUAGUGUAGCGGUGAAAUGCAUAGAUAUUACACAGAACACCGAUUGCGAAGGCAGCUUACUAAUCCAUCAUUGACGCUGAGGCACGAAAGCGUGGAGAUCAAACA